CCUACGGGAGGCAGCAGUAAGGAAUAUUGGACAAUGCUCGCAAGAGUGAUCCAGCCAUGCCGCGUGCAGGAAGAAUGCCCUAUGGGUAGUAAACUGCUUUUGAACUAGAGAAAACCCCAGUACGUGUACUGGGCUGAUAGUAUAGUUAGAAUAAGCAUCGGCUAACUUCGUGCCAGCAGCCGCGGUAAGACGAAGGAUGCAAGCGUUAUCCGGAUUCAUUGGGUUUAAAGGGAGCGUAGGUGGACUGAUAAGUCAGUGGUGAAAUCUCCGAGCUUAACUCGGAAAUUGCCAUUGAUACUGUUGGUCUUGAGUACAGUUGCUGUGGGCGGAAUAUGACAUGUAGUGGUGAAAUACAUAGAGAUGUCAUAGAACACCGAUUGCGAAGGCAGCUCACAAAGCUGUAACUGACACUGAGGCUCGAAAGUGCGGGGAUCAAACAGGAUUAGAUACCCUGGUAGUCCGCACCGUAAACGAUGAUUACUCGCUGCUAGGGGGCAACCUUUAGUGGCUUAGCGAAAGCGAUAAGUAAUCCACCUGGGAGUACGCCGGCAACGGUGAAACGUCAAAUGAAUUGACGGCGNGAGAGNGCGAGGACGACACGAGGGAGGAGG
Molecule: ribosomal RNA, 611 nt
Filed under: uncultured bacterium
Lineage: Bacteria
Description: bacterial SSU rRNA
Rfam family: Bacterial small subunit ribosomal RNA
Source: RNAcentral